Molecule: ribosomal RNA, 253 nt
Filed under: uncultured bacterium
Lineage: Bacteria
Description: partial 16S ribosomal RNA
Rfam family: Bacterial small subunit ribosomal RNA
Source: RNAcentral
UACGUAGGGGGCAAGCGUUGUCCGGAUUUAUUGGGCGUAAAGAGCGUGUAGGCGGCUUGGUAGGUCCGCUGUGAAAACUCGAGGCUCAACCUCGAGAUGUCGGCGGAAACCACUUGGCUAGAGUCCGGAAGAGGAGAGUGGAAUUCCCGGUGUAGCGGUGAAAUGCGCAGAUAUCAGGAGGAACACCGGUGGCGAAGGCGGAUCUCUGGGCCUUACCUGACGCUCAGGCGCGAAAGCUAGGGGAGCGAACAGG